GCCCGCCUAGCUCAAUCGGAUAGAGCGUCAGACUCUUAUGGCGGGUGCGAUCUGAAGGCUGCGAGUUCGACCCUCGCGGUGGGCU
Non-coding RNA from Multifurca ochricompacta, 85 nucleotides. Lineage: Eukaryota; Fungi; Basidiomycota; Agaricomycetes; Russulales; Russulaceae. The record is from the annotation of a GenBank genome assembly.